Molecule: ribosomal RNA, 253 nt
Filed under: uncultured bacterium
Lineage: Bacteria
Description: partial 16S ribosomal RNA
Rfam family: Bacterial small subunit ribosomal RNA
Source: RNAcentral
UACGAAGGGGGCUAGCGUUGCUCGGAAUCACUGGGCGUAAAGGGUGCGUAGGCGGGUCUUUAAGUCAGGGGUGAAAUCCUGGAGCUCAACUCCAGAACUGCCUUUGAUACUGAGGAUCUUGAGUACGGGAGAGGUGAGUGGAACUGCGAGUGUAGAGGUGAAAUUCGUAGAUAUUCGCAAGAACAUCAGUGGCGAAGGCGGCCUGCUGGGCUGUUGCUGACGCUGAGGCGCGACAGCGUGGGGAGCAAACAGG